CUAAAAAAUUAUGAAUAUUACAUUAAACGGAAUUGCCAAUCUGACGUAAUUUUUCAUCAUGUAAAUCAGUUCACGAUGUAAAAUUACGUGUGUUUUGCUCCAAAAUCGCUAAAUAUCAAAGAAAAACUAUGAAGUCACCAACACACCUAAGAACACCUAAUAAUAAAUCAAUAUUAACUUAAUUUCCCAUCUAAUAAGAUGCACAUAGUUGGAGCGUGUUUUUUGAUGUAAUAUUCUGUGUAAUUUGACUCAAUUUCCCGUACUCUUGAUGCUUCUCGCUUGACCGUGCAACGCGACGGUCGCCAUGUUGAUUGUUGUGUUUGCGAUCUUUGCAGAAUUGUAAGCCACCAUGUGUCUUAAUUUUGUUUGAUUUGGCCGGGAAUUUCAUCAUUUUUUAAUUGAGCAGACAUAUUGAACGAUAGCAAAGGCCAUUUUAUCAACAACAAAAAACCCUUUGUUAAAAGACCUGCUGGACGGUGAAAUGUUCCAGAUCAGUUCGUGUCACGACCACUUUUUGAAGCGCCUAGAACCGUGGUAUCCUACAGGAUUUGGCCAAGACCCAAGAGAAGCGGAAGUGAACGGUUACUGGUGCCACCGUACACAUUAAAAGUGGUCCUGAUUCCUUCUGAAAUGCGUGGCAAGCUCGAAGAAUCGUGACAUGCCCAGGUGGAGAAGCUUCAGGACCACUUAAAGAUCCGGAACCAGAAGCAGCAUGGGAAUAACUUUGUGGCCAAAUUGCUUUACUUCGUUCGCUGAAAGAUGGCCAGUUUCGGGUUUUGCAAGCCGUCAAGGAAGUGAGUUCAUCGAAACCGGAACCGGAGAGCUAGAAGGAACCAGGCCAAGUGAUGGUCAAGUGUCGCGAAAAUCAUGAAAAAUAAUUAUUUUUAUUUUGAUAAUGUGUAAAUAAAUGAUUAAGUUCAAUA
This is a long non-coding RNA of Culex pipiens pallens (northern house mosquito), 923 nucleotides long. RefSeq lists it as uncharacterized. The transcript is spliced from 2 exons. The record is from RefSeq and is a predicted model, not a curated record. Lineage: Eukaryota; Metazoa; Arthropoda; Insecta; Diptera; Culicidae.